This 400-nucleotide ribosomal RNA is filed under the name uncultured bacterium. RNAcentral describes it as "bacterial SSU rRNA". It matches the Rfam family "Bacterial small subunit ribosomal RNA", at positions 356 to 773 of the family's 1533-position model. The record is from RNAcentral.
GGGGAAUAUUGCACAAUGGGGGAAACCCUGAUGCAGCAACGCCGCGUGAGCGAUGAAGGCCUUCGGGUUGUAAAGCUCUGUCUUCGCUGACGAUAAUGACGGUAAGCGAGGAGGAAGCCACGGCUAACUACGUGCCAGCAGCCGCGGUAAUACGUAGGUGGCAAGCGUUGUCCGGAAUUACUGGGCGUAAAGGAUGCGUAGGCGGCUUCUUAAGUGGGAUGUGAAAUGCCGGGGCUUAACCCCGGAUGUGCAUUCCAUACUGGGAGGCUAGAGUGCAGGAGAGGAAAGCGGAAUUCCCAGUGUAGCGGUGAAAUGCGUAGAGAUUGGGAGGAACACCAGUGGCGAAGGCGGCUUUCUGGACUGUAACUGACGCUGAGGCAUGAAAGUGUGGGGAGCAAAC